Molecule: ribosomal RNA, 279 nt
Filed under: uncultured bacterium
Lineage: Bacteria
Description: partial 16S ribosomal RNA
Rfam family: Bacterial small subunit ribosomal RNA
Source: RNAcentral
UGCCAGCCGCCGCGGUAACACGGGGGGCGCAAGCGUUAUUCGGAAUUAUUGGGCGUAAAGGGCGCGCAGGCGGUCUUGUCCGUCAGGUGUGAAAGCUCGGGGCUCAACCCCGGAAGUGCACUUGAAACAGCAAGACUUGAAUACGGUAGAGGAGAGAGGAAUUCCUGGUGUAGAGGUGAAAUGUGUUGAUAUUGGCAGGAACACCGGAGGCGAAAGCGGCACACUGGGGAAUAACUGACGCUGAGGCACGAAAGCCAGGGUAGCGAACGGGAUUAGAUA